Molecule: long non-coding RNA, 589 nt
Organism: Oncorhynchus tshawytscha (Chinook salmon)
Lineage: Eukaryota; Metazoa; Chordata; Actinopteri; Salmoniformes; Salmonidae
Source: Ensembl
GGGCAGGGUAGCCUAGUGGUUAGAGUGUAGAGGUGGCAGGUAGCCUAGUGGUUAGAGUGUAGAGGGGGCAGGGUAGCCUAGUGGUUAGAGUGUAGAGGUGGCAGGGUAGCCUAGUGGUUAGAGUGUAGAGGGGGCAGGGUAGCCUAGUGGUUAGAGUGUAGAGGCGGCAGGGUAGCCUAGUGGUUAGAGUGUAGAGGGGGCAGGGUAGCCUAGUGGUUAGAGUGUAGAGGGGGCAGGGUAGCCUAGUGGUUAGAGUGUAGAGGGGGCAGGGUAGCCUAGUGGUUAGAGUGUAGAGGGGGCAGGGUAGCCUAGUGGUUAGAGUGUAGAGGAGGCAGGUAGCCUAGUGGUUAGAGUGUAGAGGGGGCAGGGUAGCCUAGUGGUUAGAGUGUAGGGGAGGCAGGUAGCCUAGUGGUUAGAGUGUAGAGGAGGCAGGUAGCCUAGUGGUUAGAGUGUAGGGGAGGCAGGUAGCCUAGUGGUUAGAGUGUAGGGGCGGCAGGUAGCCUAGUGGUUAGAGUGUAGAGGAGGCAGGUAGCCUAGUGGUUAGAGUGUAGAGGGGGCAGGGUAGCCUAGUGUUUAGAGUGUAGAGGUG